CCUCCUUGCUGUAUGAGUUCCUUGAGGCUAUGUGUAUUUUAAUUGGCCUCACAUUAUGUCCUAUGAGACUUUCGAUUAUAUUAUAAAGUGAUAUAUGAAUGAUUGCUACCUUAGCAUGCUAUCAAGAUCUUGUGUGAUUCGACUCUAUGGGGCAUGUCUAGAAAAGUAGUACACAUAAAAUUGAGUAGUAUGAGUGUGAUUGGAAGACUAAUUUUUGAUUACAUUUUUACAUAUGUUCACUAGUUGGCCAAUUAUGUUUACUUUUGGAAAGUUUAAACAUAAUUAUGGAUACAUGGUGAGAAUAGAAAGUCAAGUAUAGUUUUUGAGGGAUUAAACAUACUUGGUUUGAUGUAACAAAAUAAGUUUGGGGCAUUGCGAGACACAUAUUUAUUUCACCAAAAUAUUUACAUUUUUUUGGGGAUUUAAAACUACCAUGUCAUCCCUAAUAGUGCAUGGUUUGAGCUUCCCAAUAUAGAUGUGCUCAUCGAUCGCAUGAUCCAUUUUUCUAUAUGAAUUAUUUUUUAUGAUAAUGUAGAGAUUUGUGCUUUGAGAUAUGCAUGGAUAGGGAGAAGCCCAUCAUAUGUGAGUGGGAAAUGUCAGAAACAUGGAUUUGAAACCGCUCAUGAUGGGCUUAUUUAAAACUCCCCACUAUUUGGAUAACUACCCAGUAUUUAAGUAAGAGUGGGAAGUUAUUCGUUAUCUCAAUGUAACUAUAAAAGAUAGUAUUUUCUCGAUUGGAGACUUAAAAAAAGGUAUGAUGAACAGUAGGAAGAAGUUUUUUUCUUUCUGGGGCUCUUAAACUAUCUCUAUGACUUAUCAAAAAGUAAGUGGAUUUGGGUAGUGGACGAAAGAUAUUUAUCCAUUUGUGAUUUACAUCUGACUAUGAGUAUAUUUACUGAUUGGUGAUUCACUCUAUAUAGUUCCUUGGGAUAAUAUAUUUUUAAAUUUAAAUUUACUUUUAAUUAUGUUAAUUAUCCAAAAAUUUCUUCAAAUAUAAAAGUCACCCAAGGCCAUCACAACACUAUAUACAGUCAAAAAAGACCAGACAAUGAGCUAGUCAUGCACUCUUAGAUAAAGAAUCUCUACCAUUAGUUGUUUUGAAGACUUAAUUCACCAUAUCCUUACCAUUCGUAUCCCUACCAUUAGUUGUUCUGACCAGUUAGUUUGGGGCAGUACCAAACUUGAUUCUAUG
RNAcentral lists this long non-coding RNA (1192 nucleotides) under Elaeis guineensis (African oil palm). RNAcentral's name for it is "long non-coding RNA (EGUI_LNC079690)". The record is from RNAcentral. Lineage: Eukaryota; Viridiplantae; Streptophyta; Magnoliopsida; Arecales; Arecaceae.